CCUACGUGAGGCAGCAGUGAGGAAUAUUGGUCAAUGGCCGGGAGGCUGAACCAGCCAAGUCGCGUGAGGGAAGACGGCCCUACGGGUUGUAAACCUCUUUUGUCAGGGAGCAAGGUGCAGGUCGGGACCUGCUGUGAGAGUACCUGAAGAAAAAGCAUCGGCUAACUCCGUGCCAGCAGCCGCGGUAAUACGGAGGAUGCGAGCGUUAUCCGGAUUUAUUGGGUUUAAAGGGUGCGUAGGCGGACAGUCAAGUCAGCGGUAAAAAUGCGGUGCUCAACGCCGUACAGCCGUUGAAACUGGCAGUCUUGAGUGGGCGAGAAGUAUGCGGAAUGCGUGGUGUAGCGGUGAAAUGCAUAGAUAUCACGCAGAACUCCGAUUGCGAAGGCAGCAUACCGGCGCCCGACUGACGCUGAGGCACGAAAGCGUGGGUAUCGAACAGGAUUAGAUACCCGAGUAGUC
RNAcentral lists this ribosomal RNA (459 nucleotides) under uncultured bacterium. Its description in RNAcentral is "partial 16S ribosomal RNA". It matches the Rfam family "Bacterial small subunit ribosomal RNA", at positions 338 to 795 of the family's 1533-position model. The record is from RNAcentral.